AUUGAACGCUGGCGGCAUGCCUUACACAUGCAAGUCGAACGGCAGCGGACCUUCGGGUGCCGGCGAGUGGCGAACGGGUGAGUAAUAUAUCGGAACGUACCUUUCAGUGGGGGAUAACGUAGCGAAAGUUACGCUAAUACCGCAUAUUCUGUGAGCAGGAAAGCAGGGGAUCGCAAGACCUUGCGCUGAUUGAGCGGCCGAUAUCAGAUUAGCUAGUUGGUGAGGUAAAGGCUCACCAAGGCGACGAUCUGUAGCGGGUCUGAGAGGAUGAUCCGCCACACUGGAACUGAGACACGGUCCAGACUCCUACGGGAGGCAGCAGUGGGGAAUUUGGACAAUGGGCGCAAGCCUGAUCCAGCCAUGCCGCGUGAGUGAAGAAGGCCUGG
This 386-nucleotide ribosomal RNA is filed under the name uncultured bacterium. RNAcentral's name for it is "bacterial SSU rRNA". It matches the Rfam family "Bacterial small subunit ribosomal RNA", at positions 30 to 419 of the family's 1533-position model. The record is from RNAcentral.